RNAcentral lists this ribosomal RNA (250 nucleotides) under uncultured bacterium. Its description in RNAcentral is "partial small subunit ribosomal RNA". It matches the Rfam family "Bacterial small subunit ribosomal RNA", at positions 37 to 286 of the family's 1533-position model. The record is from RNAcentral.
AGAAUACAACGCGUGGCGGCGUGUACCUAACACAUGACAAGUCGAACGAGAAAGUGGAGCAAUCCAUGAGUAAAGUGGCGCACGGGUGAGUAACACGUGACUAACCUACCCUUGAGUGGGGGAUAACCUAGGGAACCUGGGCUAAUACCGCAUAAUACCUUCGGGUCAAAGGAGCAAUUCGCUUAAGGAGGGGGUCGCGGCCGAUUAGUUAGUUGGCGGGGUAAUGGCCCACCAAGACUGUGAUCGGUAU